RNAcentral lists this ribosomal RNA (49 nucleotides) under uncultured Methanoculleus sp. RNAcentral describes it as "partial 23S ribosomal RNA". The record is from RNAcentral. Lineage: Archaea; Methanobacteriati; Methanobacteriota; Methanomicrobia; Methanomicrobiales; Methanomicrobiaceae.
GACAGUAUGCCUAUCAGUGGAUGGCUCGGUUCGAGUGCCGAAGAAGGGC